This is a long non-coding RNA of Ailuropoda melanoleuca (giant panda), 508 nucleotides long. RefSeq lists it as uncharacterized. The record is from RefSeq and is a predicted model, not a curated record. The transcript has 3 exons. Lineage: Eukaryota; Metazoa; Chordata; Mammalia; Carnivora; Ursidae.
UCUAAAGUUCCUUGAAGCUCCGAAGUUCCAUGAUUUGUAUGUCCUACCUGGAGCUCAGACCAAAGAUCUACCUGAAAUGGACAGGUCAGUCUGAAAAGGAUGGAUUUGUGAGAAUGGACAGGAGCCCAAAGCCCAGAUUUUGAGAAACAAAGGCCACAAAGUUGCAAAGCUGGCUAAUGGAGGAGCUUGCCCUAGAACCUGGGUCUUCUGGGAUUUACUCACUCAGCCUGGAUUCUGCUGCCGCCAGCAAGCUAAGGACUUUGCCCCAGUAUAUAAAGGGUCAUCUGACAAUUCCUCACCCACUUGGGCUUGACCGAAGGUUUUCUUCUUUGCCCACACCUGGCUGUCUUCUAUGCCUCUCUGCCCUUCUCUCUCCUGAGAGCUGUCAGGAUUGAAAACAAACAGUGAACCCCCGGGAGCUUUGGUUGCCAAGUUAUGGAAGCCGCAGCGAUCAUUCCCUCAUGGCCAUUUGCUCAUAGAGCCAAGAACAGCCAAAUACAUCAGCUGG